AGUGAACGCUGGCGGCAGGCCUAACACAUGCAAGUCGAACGGCAACACAGUAAGAGUUUGCUCUUACGGGUGGCGAGUGGCGGACGGGUGAGGAAUACAUCGGAAUCUUCUUUUUCGGGGGGGAUAACGUAGGGAAACUUACGCUAAUACCGCAUAUGAUCUACGGGUGAAAGCAGUGGAUCUUCGCAGCUUGCGUGAUUGAAUGAGCCGAUGCCGGAUUAGCUAGUUGGGUGGGUAAGGGCCCACCAUGGCGACGAUGCGUAGCUGAUCUGAGAGGAUGAUCGGCCACACUGGAACUGAGACACGGUCCAGACUCCUACGGGAGGCAGCAGUCGGGAAUAUUGGGCAAUGGGCGCAAGCCUGACCCAGCCAUGCCGCGUGAGUGAAGAAGGCCUUCGGGUUGUAAAGCCCUUUUGUUAGGAAAGAAAAGCUGUAGAUUUAUACCCCGCUGUUCUGACGGUACCCAGUGAAUAAGCACCGGCUAACUACGUG
Molecule: ribosomal RNA, 492 nt
Filed under: uncultured bacterium
Lineage: Bacteria
Description: partial 16S ribosomal RNA
Rfam family: Bacterial small subunit ribosomal RNA
Source: RNAcentral